RNAcentral lists this ribosomal RNA (490 nucleotides) under uncultured bacterium. RNAcentral describes it as "partial 16S ribosomal RNA". It matches the Rfam family "Bacterial small subunit ribosomal RNA", at positions 28 to 507 of the family's 1533-position model. The record is from RNAcentral.
GAUGAACGCUAGCUACAGGCUUAACACAUGCAGGUCGAGGGGCAGCAUGGUCUUAGCUUGCUAAGGCCGAUGGCGACCGGCGCACGGGUGAGUAACACGUAUCCAACCUGCCGUCUACUCUUGGACAGCCUUCUGAAAGGAAGAUUAAUACAAGAUGGCAUCAUGAGUCCGCAUGUUCACAUGAUUAAAGGUAUUCCGGUAGACGAUGGGGAUGCGUUCCAUUAGAUAGUAGGCGGGGUAACGGCCCACCUAGUCUUCGAUGGAUAGGGGUUCUGAGAGGAAGGUCCCCCACAUUGGAACUGAGACACGGUCCAAACUCCUACGGGAGGCAGCAGUGAGGAAUAUGGGUCAAUGGGCGCAGGCCUGAACCAGCCAAGUAGCGUGAAGGAUGACUGCCCUAUGGGUUGUAAACUUCUUUUAUAAAGGAAUAAAGUCGGGUAUGUAUACCCGUUUGCAUGUACUUUAUGAAUAAGGAUCGGCUAACUCCGUG